GACGAACGCUGGCGGCGUGCUUAACACAUGCAAGUCGAACGGAAAGGCCCUGCUCUUGUGGGGUGCUCGAGUGGCGAACGGGUGAGUAACACGUGAGUAACCUGCCCUUGACUUUGGGAUAACUUCAGGGAACUGGGGCUAAUACCGGAUAGGAGCUCCUGCUGCAUGGUGGGGGUUGGAAAGUUUCGGCGGUUGGGGAUGGACUCGCGGCUUAUCAGCUUGUUGGUGGGGUAGUGGCUUACCAAGGCUUUGACGGGUAGCCGGCCUGAGAGGGUGACCGGCCACAUUGGGACUGAGAUACGGCCCAGACUCCUACGGGAGGCAGCAGUGGGGAAUAUUGCACAAUGGGCGGAAGCCUGAUGCAGCAACGCCGCGUGCGGGAUGACGGCCUUCGGGUUGUAAACCGCUUUCGCCUGUGACGAAGCGUGAGUGACGGUAAUGGGUAAAGAAGCACCGGCUAACUACGUG
RNAcentral lists this ribosomal RNA (468 nucleotides) under uncultured bacterium. Its description in RNAcentral is "partial 16S ribosomal RNA". It matches the Rfam family "Bacterial small subunit ribosomal RNA", at positions 28 to 507 of the family's 1533-position model. The record is from RNAcentral.